GAUGAACGCUAGCUACAGGCUUAACACAUGCAAGUCGAGGGGUAACGAGAGGAAAGCUUGCUUUCCUUGUCGACGACCGGCGCACGGGUGAGUAACGCGUAUCCAACCUGCCCCCAACUAGGGAAUAACCUUGCGAAAGUAAGACUAAUACCCCAUAAUUUCCUCAGAUUUCAUCUGACGAGGACUACAGAUGACUCGGUUGUGGAUGGGGAUGCGUCUGAUUAGCUUGUUGGCGGGGUACCGGCCCACCAAGGCAACGAUCAGUAGGGGUUCUGAGAGGAAGGGCCCCCACAUUGGAACUGAGACACGGUCCAAACUCCUACGGGAGGCAGCAGUGAGGAAUAUUGGUCAAUGGGCGGAAGCCUGAACCAGCCAAGUAGCGUGCAGGAUGACGGCCCUAUGGGUUGUAAACUGCUUUUAUACAGGAAUAAAGUUAGCCACGUGUGGUUAUUUGUAGGUACUGUAUGAAUAAGGACCGGCUAAUUCCGUGCCAGCAGCCGCCGUAA
RNAcentral lists this ribosomal RNA (506 nucleotides) under uncultured bacterium. RNAcentral's name for it is "partial 16S ribosomal RNA". It matches the Rfam family "Bacterial small subunit ribosomal RNA", at positions 28 to 523 of the family's 1533-position model. The record is from RNAcentral.